GUAUGAUUGUAAAAAAUUAAUUGUGAGGCAGUUUUUACAGACACCGUAACCUGGAAAGCUAGAGGAGGAGGAAAAUAAAAAUGGGGUGGGGCAACCUCAGAGGGAGGAUGCCCGGGUUUAGGAGAAGAGGAAAGAGCCUUCCGGAUGGGGAACCGGCAUUAUCAGCAAAGGCACAGACGUCUGCAAGAGCCAUGCAGGUUCACAGGAGGGAGAGUGAACCCCGGCUUGAUAGAGGCAGGAAUACGGAGGCCAGGACCUGCUCCUGGGGGCUGCCUGCCCUGUGCUGAAUGAUUUAUAUAUGGAAUCUCAUUGAUUUCCUCUCAUGUUUUAGAAACCCUUACGCCCAUUUUAAGGAUAAUGAAACUGUGGCUGGAUGAAGCUAAUGAAGGGAUUUAAACCAUGUCCAGAACGUGCGUCCACCCUGGCAAGUUGCAGGCAGGACUUCUGCUCCCGCCCUCUGGAUCUCCACGCGGGGCACCUCUAACAGGUCCCUGAGCUUGGUGUGUGAUCCCAACGUGGGGCACGGGUUCUCCCCAGCCUGGCACAGAGGAGCCUGCUGCCCGCAAGGACUUCCUCGCCCAGCCAGGCUUGGGCUGUUCGUGAAGCGGGAAGGAGCCCCGCAGCCCGGCACUCACACUGAGAAGACAAUGCACAUGCGCCUACUUUCCCGUUAAGGGGACACUGAGGCCACAGCUGUGGAAGGUGAAGCAGAGACAGACGAAGCCUGGAAUGGCUGAAAGGCACUUACGGCAGAAGCGCAGACGGAGACACAGGGUCAGGCUCAUGCACGCGGCUUGGCCGUGUCCGGCUCAGGGCCUGGUCCUCAUGGCCCAGGGGGCAGCUGGAGAAACAGCACAGGCGUCGUGGCCACGCGUCCUUCCCCAGCCUGGCACAGCAGGCCGUAUGAGUUUAUCUGUAAUAUCAACUACGAUGUUAACUGUUUUAUUUAUAUGCAGUUUUAUCAUACGAGUCCUUAAAAGGAGAUUCACUGUCGCCUCAGAGCACCCUGGUUUUUAUUAAUCUGGUCGCAUUCGGAGUCGUUUAGUCAGCCGCCACUUCCUGCUUAGACGCACCAUCCACAGGUGUGUCAUUAGCGUGGAGGAAUUCGAGCAGGACUGGGUUCAACUUCGCGUUUCCCAUAUUACUGAGGAUGACUCAUUUCUCAUUAAAAGACCAUCAUUGGUGAGGAUUUUUCUUGCGAUGAAACAUAUGGCUAAUUGAUUUCUCUGAUGAAGAACCUUUUCUGCUAUCAUGAAUGGCUGCUUUGAACCAUGACUGAAAGAACAGUGGCCCUCCGAGUGUCAGGGGACGCGCUGGAACCCGAGUGGCGGAGCCGUGGGCGGCCAAGAGUCAAGCGCACACACGCAGGAGGCGGGCACGUCUCAGAGGUCAAAACCUGGCCGAGAGGAGAUGCAAAGGGUUAAGAGAAAAUCUGCAGACGUUUUUUCCUGCUAAAUUUUGAUAUUGGAAACACAUCUUCCAAACGGCAUUUUUUUAGCUCUGAGUUUCUCUGGUGAAUACCUGUUUAAAAUGAGAGCCUCCAGGAGGCAGGGUGGGUGGGGAAAGAGAGACCAAGACAGAGAGAGAGAGAGAGAGAGAGAAAGAGAAAGAGAGAGAGGAAGAUUGGGAGAGGGACAGAGAGAGAAAUAGAGAAACGUUUACCAUUUAAAAAGGGGGUAGGGCUUUAUAUAUUUCUCCCCCAAAAUAUCUUCAGUCGUCACAACAAAGGUCACCAUCAUUUCUAAAUCCUUUAUAUACCACAUAAAAUGACUUUUACUCCAAAAAUCCUCCCCGAAGGAUAGUUUGUGGGUUUUUUUUUAUUAUCAUGAUCUGCGUGGCUCACUCUUUUUGCCAAUAUUGUGACCAAAUAUAAAGCAAGAGUGUCGAUUUUUUCAACCCAGAAAUACAUUUUGAAGUCCAUCAUGAAGCAGGUUGGAAGGUGCCGUUUUGAAAGCUAGACCUCCUGGGAGGCUUUCUGACCCUCAUAAUGCAGGCAAAUUCUUACAUUACUGCAUGAUAGACAUGGUAGGCUUAGGGACAGGUCCCCAUUAGGAAAUCACUAUGUCUUCAGGCAAGUUUUGCCCUUGAGUUGAAGAGGGAUGAAAACAAAGUAAAGUGGUUGUCACAAACUGUUUUGAUCUUUAAACUUAUUUGACUGUGGCACAGCAAAGCCUCAGCUUCUGCAGCCAUGUUAGAGACAUCGCUGCAGAAAAUAGUCUCACUUUAGAAUAUGCUUUCACCCUUCAAUGUUAAUAACUGCUCCUCAGCAAGACCUGUGAUUUCCUUCUCUCUUCCUCUGAUAGCCAGUCCCUUGCUCCUCAAAUCAUGGACCAGGGGCCAUCAUCAGCAUGGGCUCCACCCAGGGGCUGAUUUGACUUGCAUGGUCUCAGGCCUCCCCCAGAUCUGCAGCACCAGGGUGGGAAUUCUGAAAGGAUUUCAACUCUAGGGACCGCUGGUUCAGAGAACUCUGAUCUUGCAAUAGAGUCCGUACGCACUUAGCACCUGAAAUGUUCCCUAGUCCACAUCUCGAGUUUGGAGCAGCAAGAAUCUUCAUGGUGAAAGCUGCCAUGACAUUCUUCUGCUUGCCUGGCAAACUAAGGAGACUCUUGGCCAUAACCUUUUAUAAAGUCUUAGCUCGUCUUAUCUAAAUCCUUCUAUUAUCAAAGUUAAACUCUUCCAGCUCCCUGAUCCUUUCCUAUUAUUCUCUGAAAUGUCCAUCUCUUUUCUGCCCAACCCACUCAGCCAUGUUCUUAUGGGCCCAAGAAGGUAAGAAAGAAAGAUACUGGGAAGGGAUAGAUGUGCAAAUGAUGAAUGAGCUUUCGUUUGGAUUUAAAAGCCUGUGUCAUUAAGGAAAGGGUGGAUUUCUGGAAUCAAAGAGGGUGAGUGUUCUGUGCAUUCUCCCCAAUCAGCUGCGAUCUCUACAUCAGCAACCGGCCUUGUCACAUUGUGUUUGAAUAUGUGUGUGUUCUUCUUUCAAACAUGGCUGGGCCUUAGGGUUGUUUUUUUUUUUGGUUGUUUGUUUUUUGCUUCUAUUUUUGCUUUAUUUUGCAUUUCCCCAUAAAUGUAUGUAAUUAAAAAAUAGAAUCCACUUGUUGAGAGUAAAGUAGUCAUCUCAUUCCACACUUCCUCCCACCACGGCACCACUAAUUUAUCGUGCAAUCCUAGCAUUUUUAUUCUUGCUGAGAUGUGGAUAACCUUUUUACAUUGAAAACUCCUUUGCAACCUUACAAGAAAAGCCAAUUAAUCAAUUAGAAUAUCAUUCUCGAAUUACAGUGGAAUUAUGUGUCCCCUCUGCUGAAAACCAUUGAAACUUGCGGUGCAUUACUUCAAUUAAGAAUACUUAAUUUCCAAAUGGCACAAAUGAGCAAAGCAUGAGUCAUAGCACACGGCUCUCCUUAAAAGCCAUCAGUGCUAAUGGUUUUGAAACCUGUAUAAACCUGAUACGUGCUUCAUUUAUAUGGCAAGCUAAAUCCACGUAAGGGUGUAAUAUUUCUGCUUAUGUACACAAGGCUUUAUGUGGUGCUCCCUGCAAUUGCACAAAAAUGUAGAUGGCUUUUUGCAUGCCCUGCUUCUUACGUGAGGUGUGGCGAGUAGAUAGGAUCGUGCUUCGCUAUCACCCCACACAAAGUGCACUUAGGCCGAUCGAUCGGAAUGCUUCAUAACAUUCGAAGUUAUGAUAAUCAGAGAUUAGGGGGAAACAGCAAAUUCCAGUGUCUGGAGAAGUAUUUUUCAUUGCUCCUGUAUCUCACUAUCCCAUCUGCCUGGCUUUAUUCCAGACUCUUCAUUUGACCCCUUUGCACUGCCAUCCAGCAUGAAUGAGUUUUGCUAGAAUGAGGGGUGUGGAAACCAGUUUCUCAAGCCUCCCAAAGCUCCAGGUUUUAUUCUUGUCUUGAGUUCUUUGUAUCCAGGCUGUUCAUUAGAAUCCUGGGAGAAGAUGACCCUGAGAUAGCAAUAAUGGUGCGUUCACCAUGGGGAGCCCACACCUGUUCCCUGCAAAGGACCCACAUGUUUCUUCUCUGGCCUACUUAUCUCCCCCAGUAUAGAAUACCACCUUUUACACUUCCUCGGCAAAUUGCUUUAGUGCAUUAGAUCGAUAGUACUAAAAUCUAAGUCCAUAUUAGACUUCAAUAUUAAUGUUUGUGUUAACCAUAAACACAAAAUACAAAUACUGAUGUUUAUGAAUUAGUGUUACUAAUAUUAAUUUUUGUGUUAACCAUGAACUUCUAUACUAAUUUCAAUACUAAUUAAAUACUAAUUUUUGUGUUAACCACAAAUGCAUUAUGAAGAACAGUAAGAGAAAAUAAGAGGAUAUGGAAAAUCAAUAUUAGUUCUAAAUGUUCUUAUUUUGUUCCCAACGUUUUGUAUCAAACUGUUUAUAGCAUAUGAUUUUUCCUCCCAAAGUACUGCCUUCAUGCUCUAGAAAAAUUUGCUUUCAAUUUUCAAUAAUCAAAUGGUAAAUUUUGUUUAAAUUAGCUUCUUUAAAAAUGAAAACACUUGAUUCUGGGAAGAUUUUUCCUAAUUGGCUAAAUAAAGACAAUUUUACUGAAAUAAAAACAUUCUGUUCUAUCAAAAGGUCUUAGGUUUGGGCAACAGGGAGCUAGUCCCCUGGGAACGUGGGACAAGUGCACAUCCUGAGCCCAUCCCAGAAACACUGAAGUCCAGUAAGGCUCUCACCUUGGUUCUGGACUUAGAAACAUCCUUGAGCUCACCACAGGCUGCAGCUUGCUCGUAGCCACUCUCCCCCAACUCAUUGAUGGCUCCAGCUGGGCACUGCUGCCUCCAAGUGACGCGAGGGCGGGGAGAGUUUCAGGAAGCAUGCACUUGGCCUGUUAACCAGCACUGGAAAGAGUAAGUCAUUGCUGAAAUGUAUUUACCAAGGUGGGACACUGGAUUUAUUUUAUUUAUUAGGUUUUUAAAAAAAAUCUUGUGGAACUUUUUUUUUUUUUUUUUU
Molecule: long non-coding RNA, 4951 nt
Filed under: Homo sapiens (human)
Lineage: Eukaryota; Metazoa; Chordata; Mammalia; Primates; Hominidae
Description: HSALNT0253616
Source: RNAcentral